This 73-nucleotide transfer RNA is filed under the name Gordonia phage Forza. RNAcentral describes it as "tRNA-Ala". It matches the Rfam family "tRNA". Rfam says of the family: Transfer RNA (tRNA) molecules are approximately 80 nucleotides in length. The record is from RNAcentral. RNAcentral also lists the same sequence under 3 other names. Lineage: Duplodnaviria; Heunggongvirae; Uroviricota; Caudoviricetes.
GGGCUGGUAGCUUAAUGGGAGAGCGACUGUUUUGCACGCAGUUAGGUGAGGGUUCGAGUCCCUUCUGGUCCAC